CAAUGGCUCACUGGUAGAGCAUUUGCUUUGCACACAGAAGGUCCCAGGUUCAGUCCCUGACACUUUCAGGU
Molecule: transfer RNA, 71 nt
Filed under: Podarcis lilfordi (Lilford's wall lizard)
Lineage: Eukaryota; Metazoa; Chordata; Lepidosauria; Squamata; Lacertidae
Description: tRNA.Ala
Source: RNAcentral